CAGCCGCCGCGGGAAUACGAAGGGUGCAAGCGUUAAUCGGAAUUACUGGGCGUAAAGCGUGCGUAGGCGGUGAGUUAAGUCUGCUGUGAAAUCCCCGGGCUCAACCUGGGGGCCGCAUUUGAGACGUGGCGACUGGAGUGUGAGAGAGGGUUGUGGAAUUCCCAGUGUAGAGGUGAAAUUCGUAGAGAUCGGGAGGAACAUCAGUGGCGAAGGCGGCCAUCUGGGACAACACUGACGCUGAGGCACGAAAGCGUGGGGAGCAAACAGGAUUAGAUACCCCUGUAGUCCCUGUCUCUUAUAC
This 301-nucleotide ribosomal RNA is filed under the name uncultured bacterium. Its description in RNAcentral is "partial 16S ribosomal RNA". It matches the Rfam family "Bacterial small subunit ribosomal RNA", at positions 509 to 807 of the family's 1533-position model. The record is from RNAcentral.